CUAAAAAGUGUUAAUGGGAAAAAGCAAAAAGUGGAUGGCGUGGUGCCAGUAAGAUGGUAUCGAUAUGAUCUAGUCUCAAUUAAGUUAAUCGCAGACGAUAAAUAAAACCUGUAAACAAUUUCUGUCUGUAUUUACUUGUUCAAGUGCCAGUGAAACGAACAAUAGAAAAGAAGAAGCAGUAGGCUCGCAUUUUUUUAAAUAUAUUUUUAAAUGAUCUGAAUAAUUUUAUUGUUUUUAUUUAGUUGAAUGAUGAAAUUAUUUAUAAAAAAGAUUGACUCUUUAACUUUUAUGUUAAAUUUGUUAUUUCCUUGUUAACUGUUGUCUGUCGUUAAAAAAGCAGAAGCUUUUGGUUUGGAUACAAAAGACCAAGUGAAAAUGAUACUGGAAAGGUACACUUUCUUAUAUCUAAACAUCAUUGCAGCUUUCUAGUCUUCAUUUUUUGUUUAAGUGUAUUUCAUCUGUGUUGCUAAUGAUAUCGCCAGUUUUUAUAAUUUUAUGUAGUUAAGUAAAGCAUCAUUAUGUUUCAGGCUAAAAUAGAGCUUUGAUUAAUACUUUUAUUCAGUUUAAAUGAGUAACCACUCUCAAGGUGUAUUAGGUGAAUUAUCUUUUUGUUUUCAUAGUUUUUAGUCAAUAACGGAUUUUUAAAUUGUUCUACAAUUUUUUGACUUUGAGUCUACAACACUAAAUUUCAGGGAAAUUCAAUUAAAAAGUGAUGUCACAGAAGACAGAAAAAUAUCAAUAUCUGUUUUCAGUAACUUGGUUUUCAUAGCAAAUCUGAUAGACUGUUUACUCCUGUCCUAAUCUAACCUAGUGGGUUCAAAGAGAAAGGAACGCGCUGGAAACACAAGGGGGUUAAAAUGAUUAGCCUUUUUUGAAUUAAUAGUCGCUCGUAUGAAAGGAUUUCUCGACGUGAAACAGUUAAUUUUAUUCAACAACGCCAAAA
Molecule: non-coding RNA, 943 nt
Organism: Hydra vulgaris (swiftwater hydra)
Lineage: Eukaryota; Metazoa; Cnidaria; Hydrozoa; Anthoathecata; Hydridae
Source: RefSeq, a predicted model, not a curated record